UCCUCCCUUUCUAUUCUACCAAAUGCACCCUAAGGGUCUAGAUCUGUUAUUUUUCUUGAAUUAAAUAAAUUAAAAUUUUAGAAAUUUAUUCUCACCCUCACAUUGAGUAUUAGAGGGUCCACUAUGGAAAAUGAUCUCAUCUUGGAUCAUUAAGCUUGUUACAUUACACAAACACCAUUAAAAACAUUAUAUUUGGCUUGCUUUUGGGUCACCCCCAUUUUUCUUAUAGGAUGCCUCCAAUAAUUGUCCUUAGGUUGAUGUUUAUCCUCCAAAUUGUUAGUAUAAUUGUAAGUAUCCUUCUAAGGUCUUGAUCAUCCUCUUCUUCUUGAAAAAUAAUUGCCCUCAAAUUUAGAGGUUCCUUGCAUUAUUUGCAUCAAGAAAUGAGACAUGAAUUAUUUCAUAACAAAAUGGAAGAAUACUCACA
This 424-nucleotide long non-coding RNA is filed under the name Lupinus angustifolius (narrow-leaved blue lupine). RNAcentral describes it as "long non-coding RNA (LANG_LNC000475)". Lineage: Eukaryota; Viridiplantae; Streptophyta; Magnoliopsida; Fabales; Fabaceae. The record is from RNAcentral.